Molecule: transfer RNA, 69 nt
Filed under: Oxypoda opaca
Lineage: Eukaryota; Metazoa; Arthropoda; Insecta; Coleoptera; Staphylinidae
Description: tRNA-Glu
Source: RNAcentral
AUUUAUAUAGUUUAUCUAAAACAUUACAUUUUCAUUGUAAAAUUAAGAAUAUUAAAUCCUUUAUAAAUA